RNAcentral lists this ribosomal RNA (497 nucleotides) under uncultured bacterium. Its description in RNAcentral is "partial 16S ribosomal RNA". It matches the Rfam family "Bacterial small subunit ribosomal RNA", at positions 28 to 507 of the family's 1533-position model. The record is from RNAcentral.
GAUGAACGCUGGCGGCGUGCCUAAUACAUGCAAGUCGAGCGAACAGACGAGGAGCUUGCUCCUCGGACGUUAGCGGCGGACGGGUGAGUCACACGUGGAUAACCUACCUAUCAGACUGAGAUAACUUCGGGAAAGCGGCGCUAAUACCGGAUAAUAUAUUGAACCGCAUGGUUCAAUAGUGAAAGACGGUUUUGCUGUCACUUCUAGAUGGAUCUGCGCCGCAUUAGCUAGUUGGUACGGUAACGGCCUACCACGGCGACGAUGCGUGGCCGACCUGAGAGGGUGAUCGGCCACACUGGAGCUGAGCCACGGUCCAGACUCCUACGGGAGGCAGCAGUAGGGAAUCUUCCGCAAAGGGCGAAAGCCUGACGGAGCAACGCCGCGUGAGUUAUGAAGGUCUUCGGAUCGUAAAACUCUGUUAUUAGGGAAGAACAAAUGUGUAAGUAACUAUGCACGUCGUGACGGUACCUAAUCAGAAAGCCACGGCUAACUACGUG